CCUACGGGAGGCAGCAGUGAGGAAUAUUGGUCAAUGGCCGAGAGGCUGAACCAGCCAAGUCGCGUAAGGGAAGACGGCCCUACGGGUUGUAAACCUCUUUUGUCGGGGAGCAAAGAGAACCACGGGAGGUGCAUUAAGAGUACCUGAAGAAAAAGCAUCGGCUAACUCCGUGCCAGCAGCCGCGGUAAUACGGGGGAUGCGAGCGUUAUCCGGAUUUAUUGGGUUUAAAGGAGGCGCAGGCGGAGGUGCAAGUCAGCGGUCAAAUCGCGGGGCUCAACCCCGUACUGCCGUUGAAACUGCAUCCCUUGAGUGCGCGAGAGGUAGGCGGAAUGCGUGGUGUAGCGGUGAAAUGCAUAGAUAUCACGCAGAACUCCGAUUGCGAAGGCAGCAUACCGGCGCGCAACUGACGCUCAUGCACGAAAGCGUGGGUAUCGAACAGGAUUAGAUACCCGGGUAGUC
This 459-nucleotide ribosomal RNA is filed under the name uncultured bacterium. RNAcentral describes it as "partial 16S ribosomal RNA". It matches the Rfam family "Bacterial small subunit ribosomal RNA", at positions 338 to 795 of the family's 1533-position model. The record is from RNAcentral.